CAACAUGGAGAAACCCCGCCUCUACUAAAAAUACAAAAUUAGCCGGGCGUGGUGGUGCAUGCCUGUAAUCUCAGCUACUCUGGAGGCUGAGGCUGAGGCAGCAGAAUCGCUUGAACCCGGGAGGCAGGGGUCGCAGUGAGCCGAAAUCGCGCCAUUGCACUCCAGCCUGGGAAACAAGAGCGAAACUCCGUCUCAAAAAAAAAAAAAGAAAAGAAAAAGAAAGAAAGAAAAAAAAAAGCACUUCCAGCCUCAUAAUGCGAUAAUGCUAAGGAGGGCUGUGGGCAUAAGGCUCGGGAAAGCAGCCCAUGAGGAGCAGGUGCAAUGCCCAUACGCCCUUGGUGCAGUGUCUUGUCUGUUUAUUCUGACUGAGGCUAUUAAGAGUUAGCGCUAGUUGUUCUGUUUUGCAAAUUUCUUGGUCAUACAGACUGUGAACAAAUGUGAACCUGAAAGAGCCAAUCCGUCAACAUCCAGAGCGGCUAACUGGGUCUAAAUUUAAAAUAGAGACACGUGGUCAUUUACCUACUAGAGGUCACACAUGGACUCUGCGUUCUCCCCAAACCCACACCUCUGUUGAGUGUUGGGUCUUAUAGGGCUCACCUGCCUCAACCAAUCAGGGCUCAGCUGUAUCAACCAAUCAGAACUAAGUGCGGUUCAAUCGUUCAUUUGUAUAAACGAACCUGACUGGGAACCUGGGCAGAAACUUUUGCUGUAAAACCCAAACCCUCCCUUUGUUCUCUGGAAUGCACCUUUGUUUUACACCUAAGGCUUCAACUCCCCAGUUUGCAAACUGUUCCCUGAAAUAGUUGCUUUGCUCCAAAUUCCUCUUCAGAAAACGUUUGUUCACAACACAUACCAGGAGCUUGUCUAAAACUAUUGUAUCCUGCAAAUCCUAUUAACUGUAAGGCCGCCAAAAGCACCUAUAUAGGUUUUGCUCCAAAGUUUGAAAACUGAAGAGAAACCACCCUAUGAUUCAUCUGACAAAUGCUUUGCUACAAAUCUGGAAUAGGGUAAAUUGGAAUUACACUGACACAUUCCGUAAGUGCUUAAGUAGAAUCUGAACUUAAGUGCUGCAGAGAAGCUUGAAGAUUAUGUAGUCUUAUUCUACAUAUUUAAGGAAUCUGAAACCUAUACACAAACCAUUUUCGUAUAGAUUAGUAGCAGACCAUCAUUAAAAUCCUGAUCUCUUAACUCCCAUUACAAUGUUUUUGCUCCAGGCUGCUUUCUGCACACCCAGUUUAUAAAUUGCUGGGAUAAAACAGUGAAUGUAUACAAUAUUUAGAUACACACAAAUUACUUCCCACUUGGGGCUUUUGAUUUUCAACUUUUUUUUAACUUUAAAAAAAAAACAGAGAAACUGGGCCUUUGUGGAAAUCUGAAAGUAUAAUACAAAACCCUGGAUUUUAAACUUAUUUACUUUUGGAAGCCUUUCUUUCACACAAAUUUCAAUGCUCCUUAGAAAUUCAUUGAGGAAAGAUAAGGAGCAACAGACUUGAAGAGAAAACCAUCUUUUCCCCAAAAUAGGGCACACUCACUACCUUAGCAGUUCAUCAUCUCAAGCUUCUGGUAACUUUGAAUACUGGGAGUCAUCCUAGACUUGCUUUCCCUUGUCCCUUUAAGCUGAGAAACCCACGAAUCCCAUGGACUUUUUUAAAAAAAUUUCUUUUGUCAUUUUCCCCCUUUUGUUCUAUUCCUACUUUUACCAUAUUGUUUCCAAAUCUUACAUUAUCUUCUAAAGACAGGGUUUAUGCAUUUCUUUCAUAUAAAAUGUUAAAGUCCAGGUUCUCCCACUAUACAGAAAUAUGUGAGAUUUUAUAUGCAUGAAAGAUAAUAAUGUAAAGGAUACUUUGUGCUGUCGGGGAUUUCAGGAAAAUCUGUUAGCAAUCACUUUGCUAAACACAUACACACCUCUGCAGUGAAAUUAUUCUCCUGACUACCAUGAUCCUACUAAACUUUUAGACUCUGAAUGAAUUAUACCUUAAAAACUUGUCAAGUUGGCCGGGCGUGGUGGCUCAUGCCUGUAAUCCCACCACUUUGGAAGGCCGAGGUGGGCGGAUCACCUGAGGUUGGGAGUUCAAGACCAGCCUGACGAACAUAGAGAAAGCUCGUUUCUACUAAAAAUACAAAAUUAGCCAGGCAUGGUGGCACAUGUCUGUAAUCCCAGCUACU
This 2166-nucleotide long non-coding RNA is filed under the name Homo sapiens (human). RNAcentral describes it as "HSALNT0220576". The record is from RNAcentral. Lineage: Eukaryota; Metazoa; Chordata; Mammalia; Primates; Hominidae.